Molecule: ribosomal RNA, 496 nt
Filed under: uncultured bacterium
Lineage: Bacteria
Description: partial 16S ribosomal RNA
Rfam family: Bacterial small subunit ribosomal RNA
Source: RNAcentral
GAUGAACGCUGGCGGCGUGCCUAAUACAUGCAAGUCGAGCGAACAGACGAGGAGCUUGCUCCUCUGACGUUAGCGGCGGACGGGUGAGUAACACGUGGAUAACCUACCUAUAAGACUGGGAUAACUUCGGGAAACCGGAGCUAAUACCGGAUAAUAUAUUGAACCGCAUGGUUCAAUAGUGAAAGACGGUUUUGCUGUCACUUAUAGAUGGAUCCGCGCCGCAUUAGCUAGUUGGUAAGGUAACGGCUUACCAAGGCAACGAUGCGUAGCCGACCUGAGGGGUGGAUCGGCAAAACGGAACCUAGAACAGGUCCAGACUCCUAAGGGGAGGCAGAGGGGGGGAUUCUUCAGAAAGGGGCGAAGGCUGAACGAGGCAAGGCGGGGGGAGGAAUGAGGGUUUCCGGAUGGUAAACCUCUGUAUUAGGGAAGAACAAAUGUGUAAGUAACUAUGCACGUCUUGACGGUACCUAAUCAGAAAGCCACGGCUAACUACGUG